This 459-nucleotide ribosomal RNA is filed under the name uncultured bacterium. RNAcentral's name for it is "partial 16S ribosomal RNA". It matches the Rfam family "Bacterial small subunit ribosomal RNA", at positions 338 to 795 of the family's 1533-position model. The record is from RNAcentral.
CCUACGGGUGGCAGCAGUGAGGAAUAUUGGUCAAUGGCCGAGAGGCUGAACCAGCCAAGUCGCGUGAGGGAUGACGGCCCUAUGGGUUGUAAACCUCUUUUGUCGGGGAGUAAAGCGCACUAUGUAUAGUGCUUUGCGUGUACCUGAUGAAAAAGCAUCGGCUAACUCCGUGCCAGCAGCCGCGGUAAUACGGAGGAUGCGAGCGUUUUCCGGAUUUAUUGGGUUUAAAGGGUGCGUAGGCGGAGGUGAAAGUCAGUGGUCAAAUUGUGGGGCUCAACCCCAUAAUGCCGUUGAAUAUGGAUCCCUUGAGUGCAGGAGAGGUAUGCGGAAUGCGUGGUGUAGCGGUGAAAUGCAUAGAUAUCACGCAGAACUCCGAUUGCGAAGGCAGCAUGCUGGCGCGCAACUGACGCUGAUGCACGAAAGCGUGGGUAUCGAACAGGAUUAGAUACCCUGGUAGUC